RNAcentral lists this ribosomal RNA (499 nucleotides) under uncultured bacterium. RNAcentral's name for it is "partial 16S ribosomal RNA". It matches the Rfam family "Bacterial small subunit ribosomal RNA", at positions 28 to 507 of the family's 1533-position model. The record is from RNAcentral.
GACGAACGCUGGCGGCGUGCCUAAUACAUGCAAGUCGAGCGAAGUCUUUCUGGUGCUUGCACUAGAAAAACUUAGCGGCGAACGGGUGAGUAACACGUAAAGAACCUGCCUCAUAGACUGGGACAACUAUUGGAAACGAUAGCUAAUACCGGAUAACAGCAUUUCUCGCAUGAGAGAUAUUUAACAGUUGGUUAUGCUAACACUAUGAGAUGGCUUUGCGUUGCAUUAGCUAGUUGGUGGGGUAAAGGCCCACCAAGGCGACGAUGCAUAGCCAACCUGAGAGGGUGAUCAGCCACACUGGGACUGAGACACGGCCCAGACUCCUACGGGAGGCAGCAGUAGGGAAUCUUCCACAAUGGGCGAAAGCCUGACGGAGCAACGCCGCGUGAGUGAAGACGGAUUUCGGUUCGUAAAGCUCUGUUGUUAGGAAAGAAUGGAUAUGGAGUAACAAUACGUGUAAGAGACGGUACCUAAACAGAAAGCAACGGCUAACUACGUG